Molecule: ribosomal RNA, 501 nt
Filed under: uncultured bacterium
Lineage: Bacteria
Description: partial 16S ribosomal RNA
Rfam family: Bacterial small subunit ribosomal RNA
Source: RNAcentral
AUUGAACGCUGGCGGCAGGCUUAACACAUGCAAGUCGAGCGGUGAUGAGGUGCUUGCACCUUAUCUUAGCGGCGGACGGGUGAGUAAUGCUUAGGAAUCUGCCUAUUAGUGGGGGACAACAUUCCGAAAGGAAUGCUAAUACCGCAUACGUCCCACGGGAGAAAGCAGGGGAUCUUCGGACCUUGCGCUAAUAGAUGAGCCUAAGUCGGAUUAGCUAGUUGGUGGGGUAAAGGCCUACCUAGGCGACGAUCUGUAGCGGGUCUGAGAGGAUGAUCCGCCACACUGGGACUGAGACACGGCCCAGACUCCUACGGGAGGCAGCAGUGGGGAAUAUUGGACAAUGGGGGAAACCCUGAUCCAGCCAUGCCGCGUGUGUGAAGAAGGCCUUAUGGUUGUAAAGCACUUUAAGCGAGGAGGAGGCUACUGAGACUAAUACUCUUGGAUAGUGGACGUUACUCGCAGAAUAAGCACCGGCUAACUCUGUGCCAGCCGCCGCAGUAA